Molecule: ribosomal RNA, 301 nt
Filed under: uncultured bacterium
Lineage: Bacteria
Description: partial 16S ribosomal RNA
Rfam family: Bacterial small subunit ribosomal RNA
Source: RNAcentral
CAGUAGCCGCGGUAAUACAGAGGGUGCGAGCGUUAAUCGGAUUUACUGGGCGUAAAGCGUGCGUAGGCGGCUUCUUAAGUCGGAUGUGAAAUCCCUGAGCUUAACUUAGGAAUUGCAUUCGAUACUGGGAAGCUAGAGUAUGGGAGAGGAUGGUAGAAUUCCAGGUGUAGCGGUGAAAUGCGUAGAGAUCUGGAGGAAUACCGAUGGCGAAGGCAGCCAUCUGGCCUAAUACUGACGCUGUGGUACGAAAGCAUGGGGAGCAAACAGGAUUAGAUACCCGGGUAGUCCCUGUCUCUUAUAC